Molecule: ribosomal RNA, 499 nt
Filed under: uncultured bacterium
Lineage: Bacteria
Description: bacterial SSU rRNA
Rfam family: Bacterial small subunit ribosomal RNA
Source: RNAcentral
AGAAUUUGAUCUUGGUUCAGGAUGAACGCUGGCGGCGUGCUUAACACAUGCAAGUCGAACGGAGAUAUUUGAAAGCUUGCUUUAGAUAUCUUAGUGGCGGACGGGUGAGUAACGCGUGGGUAACCUACCCUGUACAGGGGGAUAGCAGUUGGAAACGACUGAUAAAACCGCAUAAAACGGCAGUACCGCAUGGUACAACCGUCAAAUAUUCAUAGGUACAGGAUGGGCCCGCGUCUGAUUAGCUAGUUGGUGGGGCAACGGCCUACCAAGGCGACGAUCAGUAGCCGGCCUGAGAGGGUGAACGGCCACAUUGGGACUGAGACACGGCCCAAACUCCUACGGGAGGCAGCAGUGGGGAAUAUUGGACAAUGGGGGAAACCCUGAUCCAGCGACGCCGCCGUGAGUGAAGAAGUAUUUCGGUAUGUAAAGCUCUAUCAGCAGGGAAGAUGAUGACGGUACCUGACUAAGAAGCACCGGCUAAAUACGUGCCAGCAGCAGC